This is a small nuclear RNA of Nomascus leucogenys (northern white-cheeked gibbon), 107 nucleotides long. The record is from Ensembl. Lineage: Eukaryota; Metazoa; Chordata; Mammalia; Primates; Hylobatidae.
AUGCUUGCUUAGGCAGCACAUGUACUAAAAUUGGAACGACACAGAGAAGAUUAGCAUGGCCCCUAUGCAAGGACGACACGCAAAUUCGUGAAGCAGUCCAUAUUUUU